AUUCUGUAACACUUUCUUACCUGGUUGCAAGAAGCAAGAAGCAACUGAUAAAAGGUAACACCAGAUAAAGCAAUGUCUCAGAAUGUGGGUUGUUAACCCGUGGAACAAGCUACAUGAGGAAGGAGUGAUUCUCUUCUGGGUGCUUUUAAGGCAAGCCCAAAUGCCUUUCUGAAGGGCACUCUGAAAGACAUCUACCUCAGCCUGAACAAGUAAAAGGUAAGCUACUUGCUUAACACUUGGGAUUAGUUCAGAAACCCAGAGAUCUGUCCAGAGCUCCACAGAACUAUGAGUGACACCAACUAAACCAGAAGCAGGAUCAGUCUGUGCUAGCAGAGGGAAGAAGGGAAACAGGGCAAGCACCAUCCUUCACACUUAGGUGCAGACAUUCCUUCAGGAGCACCUCCAAGCAUCCUCCAAGCAGUGGGCACCCACUCAGCCCCAGGGGAACACCAGCAGCUCAAGGAGGGAAAUGAAAGGAGGCUGACAGGAAUACAGGUGGUCAAUUGAGUGCAAGCUGAGAGAAAACAGGUGAGUCAAUGCCAUACUCAAAUGUUAACUUAUUAUUCCAUGACGCCCAGCCUUUGAAGGAACACAUCUUUUAUAACC
This 606-nucleotide long non-coding RNA is filed under the name Coturnix japonica (Japanese quail). RNAcentral describes it as "lncRNA (ENSCJPG00005001908.1)". The record is from RNAcentral. Lineage: Eukaryota; Metazoa; Chordata; Aves; Galliformes; Phasianidae.